Long non-coding RNA from Coturnix japonica (Japanese quail), 1738 nucleotides. RefSeq lists it as uncharacterized. The record is from RefSeq and is a predicted model, not a curated record. Lineage: Eukaryota; Metazoa; Chordata; Aves; Galliformes; Phasianidae.
AUCUUCGGUAGUGUCGAGGAGACCUGAAUCUACUCUGCUGCCUUUGAAAUAUAACCAAAAGCUCAUGUAUUAUCAAAAAUAAAAUCAUUCUUUCUCAUUCUUUAGGAGUGGUUUGUGUCACUAUUGAAGUACUUCAGGAUGACAGAAGAGACUUUCAUUUGUGCCAGCUGAAAUAACUGACGUCUUCACUUCUAAGAGAAACCAUCACAAACAAGAAAGCUGUGUAACAGGGGAGCCAUAUCCCAAGCUUAUUGAAAGAGAAAAGAAACUUAGAGAAUUUGUGAACAAUCAUUUUUAAAGCAGCUCCUUGAAUAGCACAUCACCAGAGGGCCCACUCACUUCAUCGUAUCCAGUCAGCCUUGGGAUGAAGGAGGAUGGCAGUGUCAUGAUGAGAACACUGUGUCCUUUCAAGAUGAAGCCUUCAACACUGAACCUUAAAGCCAAGCCAUCCAGCUUCUCCCAGCUCCUUGUGGUUGCCUAUGGCUCCACAGAACUGCCACAUCAAGUAAUGAACCUCAAGGUGAACCAAACUGGGAUUCCACACACAUCACACCAGCCCUCCUUUGGGAAAUGCAGUCCUGUCUCAGGAGUCUCAGGCAUCUUGUGUUCAUCCUGCAUCGCCUCGUUGAAGAAGUAAAACUACCUGCUGCUGAGAACUCUAAAAGGAGCUGCAAACGUCGAGGCUCAGAGGAACCAGGAAUCCUGGACUGCCAUCCAUAGAGCCCGCUGACCUGCAGCAGGUGGAUGUGUGAAGCUGUGCCAUGGAAGGCCCAGAUGAGCGUGUGGGUCACUUGCUGCAAGCUGCCAGGUAACACAGCUCACAACACAAGAACAGGCUGGGAGCCCUGGGGCACUGAAUGUCCAUUAUUGGCAUACAGGUAAAGUGUUCUCUGUCAGUGCUGAAAUACUGCUUCAUAUGCUUAACAUGUUCUGAACUGUUUGUUUAAAUGAAAGAGUGUUUUUCAAGGUAAGGAAGAACGAGACCCUUAUGCAUUCUUUGCCUGUAAAUAUAUAUAUGUAUAUAAUGGUUUGAAAAAAAUAGCCCUGGUCAUUCACACAAACGGAGUAACUGAAACAGCAUUAACAGCUAUUGUUGUAUAGAGUAUUGCUAGCUCAGUGAUGAGAAGGCCCUGUUUAGAGAGGCUGAAGGAUGCAGGAGGAAGCAAUUGGAAUUCCUCAAGACAAUCUCCCUCUCACAGCACACACCCCAUCCAAAAUCUCCUCCUUAACGGCUGCCCGGCUGACUUUAAACUGCCAACACCGACAAAAAGGGGAUGUUGCAUCUUUUAUAAACAGCCUUUUGUUUGCCGUUCUGACACCUGCGAAAAGCAAAAUUGUUAUUUUCUUGCUGCUUGUUGCUAGUUUGAUGCCCGCUCUGGGGCCCUACAUCAGAGACACUGUUCAAAACAGGUUGCAGGGGUCCGUUUCCGUGCUGUCUGCCGAUGGUGCUGCCUGAAGGAAAACCAUGGAAACGGAGUUUGACAGGCUCACAGGGACCCACGGCUGCCAGAGCCGCUGCCUUUGAGCGCCUGAUGAAGACAUCACAGAGCAAACACAACAUUAAAACGCUGCUGGCUGCUUUGCAUCACUUAGAAUGCAAAUCUCUUUGUUCUGCUCGGCCUUUGCGUUUUGUAGCCGAGGAAUCUGUGCUAUCAUCUAACAUGGAUUUGCUGACCUUUCUUCCCUCCCUGUCCACUCUUCUAAUACAUAUAUAUAUUAAACAUAUUCUAAAAGAUCA